RNAcentral lists this transfer RNA (102 nucleotides) under Harpegnathos saltator (Jerdon's jumping ant). It matches the Rfam family "tRNA". Rfam says of the family: Transfer RNA (tRNA) molecules are approximately 80 nucleotides in length. Their secondary structure includes four short double-helical elements and three loops (D, anti-codon, and T loops). The record is from Rfam by way of RNAcentral. Lineage: Eukaryota; Metazoa; Arthropoda; Insecta; Hymenoptera; Formicidae.
CCUUCGAUAGCUCAGUCGGUAGAGCGGUGGACUGUAGUUGGCUACGAUUGCAUGAAAGAGAAGACAUCCAUAGGUCGCUGGUUUCAAAUCCGGCUCGAAGGA